Molecule: ribosomal RNA, 305 nt
Filed under: uncultured bacterium
Lineage: Bacteria
Description: bacterial SSU rRNA
Rfam family: Bacterial small subunit ribosomal RNA
Source: RNAcentral
UUCAUCCUCGGGGGCAGCAGUGGGGAAUAUUGCACAAUGGGGGGAACCCUGAUGCAGCGACGCCGCGUGAGUGAAGAAGUAUUUCGGUAUGUAAAGCUCUAUCAGCAGGGAAGAAGAUGACGGUACCUGACUAAGAAGCCCCGGCUAACUACGUGCCAGCAGCCGCGGUAAUACGUAGGGGGCAAGCGUUAUCCGGAUUUACUGGGUGUAAAGGGAGCGUAGACGGCAGGGCAAGUCUGGAGUGAAAGCCCGGGGCCCAACCCCGGGACUGCUUUGGAAACUGCCAUGCUGGAGUGCUGGAGAGG